Molecule: ribosomal RNA, 377 nt
Filed under: uncultured bacterium
Lineage: Bacteria
Description: bacterial SSU rRNA
Rfam family: Bacterial small subunit ribosomal RNA
Source: RNAcentral
UAAUACAGAGGUCUCAAGCGUUGUUCGGAUUCAUUGGGCGUAAAGGGUGCGUAGGUGGCAAGGUAAGUCGGGUGUGAAAUCCCGGGGCUCAACCCUGGAACUGCACUCGAUACUGCCAUGCUCGAGUACUGGAGAGGAGACUGGAAUUUACGGUGUAGCAGUGAAAUGCGUAGAUAUCGUAAGGAAGACCAGUGGCGAAGGCGAGUCUCUGGACAGUUACUGACACUGAGGCACGAAGGCCAGGGGAGCAAACGGGAUUAGAUACCCCGGUAGUCCUGGCAGUAAACGGUGCGCGUUUGGUGUGGGAGGAUUCGACCCCUCCUGUGCCGGAGCUAACGCGUUAAACGCGCCGCCUGGGGAGUACGGUCGCAAGAUUA